RNAcentral lists this ribosomal RNA (253 nucleotides) under uncultured bacterium. Its description in RNAcentral is "partial 16S ribosomal RNA". It matches the Rfam family "Bacterial small subunit ribosomal RNA", at positions 524 to 776 of the family's 1533-position model. The record is from RNAcentral.
GACGGAAGGUGCAAGCGUUGCUCGGAAUCACUGGGCGUAAAGGGUGCGUAGGCGGCCGCGCAAGUCUGGCGUGAAAGCCCCGGGCUCAGCCCGGGAAGGGCGCUCGAAACGGCGCGGCUCGAGUGCCGGAGGGGAGAGUGGAAUUCCUGGUGUAUCGGUGAAAUGCGUAGAUAUCAGGAGGAACACCGGUGGCGAAGGCGCCACUCUGGGCCGGUACUGACGCUGAGGAGCGAAAGCGUGGGUAGCAAACAGG